RNAcentral lists this long non-coding RNA (205 nucleotides) under Homo sapiens (human). RNAcentral's name for it is "HSALNT0331208". The record is from RNAcentral. Lineage: Eukaryota; Metazoa; Chordata; Mammalia; Primates; Hominidae.
UUGGACCCCAGACCACGUUGCAGAGAGGCUGAGGGAGGAGCGCAAGCUUCGGAAACAGGCACCUGGGUGUGGGAGCUUCCUCCGCUUUACUAGCUGUGUGACCUUGGGCAAGUGACUCACCCUCUCUGAGCCUCUUCUGUAUCUGUGAAAUCAUCACUCAGAGAUGGGGUUGUUACUGGUGGAAUGUGUCCGAGUUACCACAGGG